AUGACGCCGCCGGCGGCGGCCUCGCCGGGGCGGAAGUCUCCGGCCGCGGUCCUCUUCCUCUGCGUGGUCACUAUCUCAUUACUCAUGUUCAUACUCCUUGCCUCCUACACCCCCCGCCUCCAGCCCCACGGCCGCAGCCCCCACCGCCGCCUCAAGCUCCACCCCAAGAACUCCGCCGCCGUCGCUUCUUCCUACGGGGCCGGCGCCGUCCACGAUUCCGGAGGAAACCGCCACGCGGCGCCCUUCGACCCGGCCAUCGCCGAGCUGGAGCGGCGGCUGGAGGACAAGGAGUGGGAGCGCGAGCACUACCGCAUCCUCCAUGGCGACGCCGAGAAAGACGACCACAUGAAGGAGUGGGAGGAGUUCCUCAGGGAGGAAGAGGACUUUAUCAACGACGACGAUCGCUUCAACGUCUCCGACCGCAUCCGCGCGCUUUUCCCCAAGAUCGACCUCAGCCCCAAGGACGGCUUCGUCUCCCUCGAUGAGCUCAUCAGGUGGAACCUCGAUCAGGCCAGGGCCGACCAGCUCCAUCGCUCCGCCAGGGAGAUGGAGCUCUACGACAAGAACGGCAACGGGAUCGUCUCCUUCACUACUUUCCGGGCGCUGCGCCAACAGUCCCAUGGGGAUGGCAACUCACUGGGGUUCCCGUGGUGGAAAGAGGAGCACUUCAAUGCUUCGGACGUCAACGGGGAUGGUUUCCUCAAUAAAACUGAGUUUCACGACUUUCUUAAUCCAAGUGAUUCGGAGAAUCCUAAAAUUAUCAACUUGCUCUGCAGACAAGAAUUAAGGCAGAGAGAUAAAGAUGGUGAUGGAAAGUUAAACUUUGAAGAAUACUUUCAUGGGCUACAUGACCAUAUACAUGGUUAUGAUGACGAGAAUGCAGCUAUUUCUCAUAUUGGGAACAUGACAAUUGCAAAGGAGCGGUUUGCCAAGCUUGACAAAGAUAAUGACGGGUUCAUUUCAGAGCAUGAACUAGAACCUGUUCUUGAUAAGCUCCAUCUGUCAGAACGCUAUUAUGCCAGACAGCAAGCCACACAUGCUAUUUCAGAGGCAGACAAAGAUCAUGAUGGAAGGCUAACACUGGAAGAGAUGAUCGAGAACCCCUAUGCAUUUUAUGGUAGUGUUUACUUCAGCGAUGACGAGGACUACUUCCAUGAAGAGUUCCGCUAA
Molecule: ribosomal RNA, 1170 nt
Filed under: Triticum aestivum (bread wheat)
Lineage: Eukaryota; Viridiplantae; Streptophyta; Magnoliopsida; Poales; Poaceae
Description: partial small subunit ribosomal RNA
Source: RNAcentral